AAAAUUUAUAACUACUAAUCUGUUACGUAUCAAUUUGUUUGUUUAAAUCGAUCAAAUCUAAGGUUGAAUUUUACUGAAAAUUUUUUUUUUUUUUUUUUUUAUAGUUGAGUUUGAGUUUUGAAUUUAAUCGGAAAGGAAAUAAAUUAAAAUGAUAUUAUUGUGUAUUUAAUUCCGAUUUAGGUUAUUAAUUAAUACGGUAGUUGCUGCCACCAGAAAUAGUCCAAAGACUAUUUCAAAAUGUUUUAUUUUUUAUUAUUUUCUUUUGCGUUUAAUGGGUAACGUUAACUGACGCUUAAUGCAACUGGUAAACGAAUUUCACUUUUCGGCUAACCUGCUAUGCGCAGGGAUACUAGCGCGGGAGAGGAUUAAAGCUGGGUACAAUAAAUAUUUUUCCUCGUCGAACGGAUUUUUACUUGAAUGUGAAAUGGGUUAGGUUAUUAUAUAUAUAUAUUUGAUUAGCUAGAUAUAUAUAUUUUAGCGUUGCUGGAUUAGAUAGGAAUGUGAGAUUGUUUGUUGUUUGAUAUAAAUUUAUUUUUUCGUUUGACUUCCUCUUCUCUUUUAAUUUCGCUGUUAAGACCGAAACUCAAUUCAUUUACCCCGAUGGAUUCUGUCGCCACGAUUUUCUUGCCUUUUGAGUUUAGCUAUCGAGGAUAAUUCUAACGAUCCUCUCUGUGUGGGACUCGUGUGAUUUCGCCAGCCUUGCCCAAAGACGGGUAAUAAUUUACCAACAGUGGGAGAAGGAAGGCGAAGAUCGAUGGGUGUUCUCGAUAAUUGAAAACACCGUUUGCACGAGCCGACACAGCGAACGAUCUUUUGGUUAAUUUCCCGAAGGGGGGAUUGUUUUGUUAUAUCUUUCUUAUAAUCGCAUGCAAGAAUGGCAAGAAUAUCGGUUAAUAGCAAUACCGGUAUCGUUCUUGAUUUUCAAUUGACCCCGACGAUAUAUUUAUUAGUCCUUUCUGAGCGGGACUUGUGUGAUUUCGCAAGCCUUGCCCAAAGAUGGGUAAUAUUUUACCAACAAUGGGAGGAGGAAUGCGAAGAUCAGUGGGUGUUUCAGUAGCUGAAAACACCGUUCGCACAAGCCGACACAACGGACAACUCCUUUGUUUAAAAUUUAAGCAAUGUUUCUAUCUUAAAAACCGUAAAUGAAAUCGAUGAUAGGAGGUUUUGAUUCAAUUCUCGAGGACAACGAGAUUGCCAGAAAAGAAGAAAGUUUUUUAAAUUUAAUUUGCUUACCUUGAGGAAAAGGUGCUAUCGGGUGCCAUCACUCCAGCUGUCCCGGUGAUCGUCGAAGGUUGUUGGGUUUAUUAUUUAAUCUCGAAUAUAGUUUUCUAUCAACCUUUACUUUAUUAAACUAUUUCGAUACAAAUUGAGUGACUUGCUAACUGAAUUGAUAUCGCAAUGAAGACUUAAAAUUUUACUUUAUUUAAUCGCGACUCUCUUUUCUUUAUCGAAAAACUAAAGACCCCGAAACGCAAAAUACUUAUACAGAUUUCUAGACGCAAAGAAUAAUGAGCCGUAGUAACAAACGAUCGCAAACUAAUGAACGAAUAAUGAACUGAAGAACGAAUAAAGAAUUAAAGAACGAAUAAUGCACGAAUAAAGAACGCCGCGCUAUGUUGCAUCGCUUAUUUAUAAUGCCAUCCCCCACGGGGUGGUGGUCCGCUGGGGGUACGCUUCCGUGGGAAUCGGGAUGUUGCAGUUUGGGCUUCUUGGAAUCGUACGUGACAAAAUGUAAAUUCCAUAUUUCGACUUAGUUUUUUAUCAGUCCUGUGUUUCCGCUGAGCUAGCGUCUAGGAGAUUUGAAGCAUUCCACGCUGAUCUAGUCCGUUCCGCGAGAAACUUCCACGUGCUGUACCGUGGGAAUUACCGGUGUUUCUUCGGCGCGUGGAAGGGCUGGUGGCUGCAGCAUCAUUAUCAUUUUAAAGUUUGCUCGGGCAACACGCGCAACUCCGCUGCUCUCCCAUAACAAAGACCUCCUCCUUCGAAUUGUUUUGCGCUUCGGUGAUCGAUGUUCGAACCAUGUUUGCUGAGUCGUUUCUAUCAGAGGUUCCUUUCCAGACUUCCCUGCCCAAGCGAAAGAGGGAUUCCGAAGAGCCCAUGGGCGACUCGGGGGAACCCAUCAAGCGCAUGCGGCCUUGUGAUGGACCACGAGUGUCGGGGAGUUUGGAGGAACUGUUUUACAUUGGUGCCGAGGCUGUGUCGAAAUUGGGUUUUGACGAUUUGGUUACUUUCGACGAGAAUUUCUUUGAUGCGGAGACCGUCAUAUUGGAGAGGGAACCCCCUCUGGUUGAAAUCGUCGAUACCGAGCGUUGCGUGAAAGUUCGUUUUGCGAAUGAAAUUCCCGAAGAGGUUUUGGAGGCGCAUCUUCGUCACCAUGCUUCUGGGAGAAAGGGAAUUUUCCCUGUUGUGCGCUAUUGGUGUAUGUGUGAGUUCAGCGAACUUUAUCCCGGAGCUCCUUGCUUCGAUUUUGAUUUAUUGUAGCUGCUUCAAUUUCGUUGGUUCGCUGUUUUGAUGUUCCUUAUUAUUAUUAAUUUUGACAUAUUUUGUUUUGUGUUCAAUGUGUGUGUGUGUAUAUAUAU
Bombus huntii is the source of this 2579-nucleotide RNA transcript. RefSeq lists it as uncharacterized. Lineage: Eukaryota; Metazoa; Arthropoda; Insecta; Hymenoptera; Apidae. The record is from RefSeq and is a predicted model, not a curated record. The transcript is spliced from 3 exons.